UAAACAAAAGCUUAAGUUAACUAAACUAGGGGCCUUCAAAGCCCCAAACAAGGACACCCACCUCCUUAGCUUUUG
Molecule: transfer RNA, 75 nt
Filed under: Trachylepis perrotetii
Lineage: Eukaryota; Metazoa; Chordata; Lepidosauria; Squamata; Scincidae
Description: tRNA-Trp
Source: RNAcentral